Molecule: ribosomal RNA, 698 nt
Filed under: uncultured bacterium
Lineage: Bacteria
Description: bacterial SSU rRNA
Rfam family: Bacterial small subunit ribosomal RNA
Source: RNAcentral
CAUGCAAGUCGAGGGGCAGCAUAAAUUACUUGUAAUUUGAUGGCGACCGGCGAACGGGUGCGUAACGCGUAUGCAACUUACCUUUUACUAGAGAAUAGCCAAGAGAAAUUUUGAUUAAUGCUCUAUGUUCUUAUUUACUCGCAUGAGUAAAUAAGCAAAGCUCCGGCGGUAAAAGAUGGGCAUGCGUCCUAUUAGCUUGUAGGUGAGGUAAUGGCUCACCUAAGCUCCGAUAGGUAGGGGUCCUGAGAGGGAGAUCCCCCACACUGGUACUGAGACACGGACCAGACUUCUACGGAAGGCAGCAGUAAGGAAUAUUGGACAAUGGAGGCAACUCUGAUCCAGCCAUGCCGCGCGAAGGAAGACGGCCUUAUGGGUUGUAAACUUCUUUUAUACAGGAAGAAACCUUUCCACGUGUGGAAAGUUGACGGUACUGUAAGAAUAAGGAUCGGCUAACUCCGUGCCAGCAGCCGCGGUAAUACGGAGGAUCCAAGCGUUAUCCGGAAUUAUUGGGUUUAAAGGGUCCGCAGGCUGUUUGUUAAGUCAGAGGUGAAAUCCUACCGCUCAACGGUAGAACUGCCUUUGAUACUGGCAAACUUGAGUUAUUGUGAAGUAGUUAGAAUGUGUGGUGUAGCGGUGAAAUGCAUAGAUAUUACACAGAAUACCGAUUGCGAAAGCAGAUUACUAACAAUAUACUGACG